Molecule: ribosomal RNA, 394 nt
Filed under: uncultured Glomeromycotina
Lineage: Eukaryota; Fungi; Glomeromycota
Description: SSU rRNA
Rfam family: Eukaryotic small subunit ribosomal RNA
Source: RNAcentral
AGCAGCCGCGGUAAUUCCAGCUCCAAUAGCGUAUAUUAAAGUUGUUGCAGUUAAAAAGCUCGUAGUUGAAUUUCGGGAUCAAUAUUUCGGUCAUGCCGUUGGUAUGCACUGUUAUCAUUGAUUUCUCACCUUCUAAAGAACCGUAAUGCCAUUAAUUUGGUGUUACGGGGAAUUAGGACUGUUACCUUGAAAAAUUAGAGUGUUUAAAGCAGGCUCGCGCUUGAAUACAUUAGCAUGGAAUAAUGAAAUAGGACGUUGAUCCCAUUUUGUUGGUUUCUAGGAUUGACGUAAUGAUUAAUAGGGAUAGUUGGGGGCAUUAGUAUUCAAUUGUCAGAGGUGAAAUUCUUGGAUUUAUUGAAGACUAACUACUGCGAAAGCAUUUGCCAAGGAUGUU